This is a non-coding RNA of Bacteroidales bacterium 36-12, 124 nucleotides long. NCBI's taxonomy places the organism in Bacteria, Pseudomonadati, Bacteroidota, Bacteroidia, Bacteroidales. The record is from Rfam.
CCGAAAUAGUUUUAAAAUGAAACGAAACAUAGUAAAUACAGCUUGGUGGUGGCACUUACAGAAUUUUAUUCCGUGAGUAUUAUUUACUUGUAUUUAUCAAAAUAUAUUUUUGAAAAGGCUUGUC